RNAcentral lists this ribosomal RNA (548 nucleotides) under uncultured bacterium. RNAcentral describes it as "bacterial SSU rRNA". It matches the Rfam family "Bacterial small subunit ribosomal RNA", at positions 355 to 895 of the family's 1533-position model. The record is from RNAcentral.
UAGGGAAUCUUCGGCAAUGGACGGAAGUCUGACCGAGCAACGCCGUGUGAGUGAAGAAGGUUUUCGGAUCGUAAAGCUCUGUUGUAAGAGAAGAACGAGUGUGAGAGUGGAAAGUUCACACUGUGACGGUAUCUUACCAGAAAGGGACGGCUAACUACGUGCCAGCAGCCGCGGUAAUACGUAGGUCCCGAGCGUUGUCCGGAUUUAUUGGGCGUAAAGCGAGCGCAGGCGGUUAGAUAAGUCUGAAGUUAAAGGCUGUGGCUUAACCAUAGUACGCUUUGGAAACUGUUUAACUUGAGUGCAAGAGGGGAGAGUGGAAUUCCAUGUGUAGCGGUGAAAUGCGUAGAUAUAUGGAGGAACACCGGUGGCGAAAGCGGCUCUCUGGCUUGUAACUGACGCUGAGGCUCGAAAGCGUGGGGAGCAAACAGGAUUAGAUACCCUGGUAGUCCACGCCGUAACGAUGAGUGCUAGGUGUUAGACCCUUUCCGGGGUUUAGUGUCGCAGCUAACGCAUUAAGCACUCCGCCUGGGGAGUACGACCGCAAGGUU